Octopus bimaculoides (California two-spot octopus) is the source of this 3322-nucleotide RNA transcript. It is a transcript of the gene named heme transporter hrg1-A, with no coding region annotated. The record is from RefSeq and is a predicted model, not a curated record. NCBI's taxonomy places the organism in Eukaryota, Metazoa, Mollusca, Cephalopoda, Octopoda, Octopodidae.
UAUUCAUAGCACUUGUAGCCGCCAUAGAAAUAAGAUGAAUGAGAUCUCACGAGACUUAACACACCAAACGAGACUCAGAAGAUCUCGUUGAAACAAUGGCGUCAGUUUCAGGCAUUGUCAUGAAGCUGAGAAUAUUUUUCUCUCUUCUUGGCAUUUUGGUCGGAUUAUCAGUGGUUUUUGUCUUUGGAAUUAAAUUCCACAACUGGAAUACUGCUCUGUGGGGCCUUCUAUCAGCUAUCCCUGCCUCAUUAACAUUCUCUCUUCACAUAUGUUACCUGAAAGGUGUUUGGCAAACUUAUCCGUAUCGACUCAAAUAUAUGGUCAUCACAGGAUGUUUCUUCCAGUUGGCAGGAAUUAUUGGUUUCGUCACUUAUCUGGCAUUGGGAUUCUAUUUUCAACAAGGUUUACAGAUUUACGGGAAUGGUUACUUCCUGACCACAGUUUGGUGCUUCAUGACCUGGAAAUGGGGUCUCCUGCUCUUGUACUUCACUCGAUCGUAUCGUCAAUUACUCUGUGAUGUUUACACUAUUUUGCCAACAGAAGCGCCACCUUUGAACGGUGAUGAUUGAGAUGGAAACAGAUUGAAGACAUAUCAAGUGGAAUCAUUAAGAACCAAAGUUGUGGCAUUCAUGGAGUGUUCCAGUAAGAUUUUAAAGAGUUGUUGGUGAAAGCAAAUCAUCCUUGUUGAAUUUCAACUGUUGUGUUGUAAUGGACCAAUGACCAGGGACUGCCCUUACAGCGCUGCUAUCACCAAUAUUUCCGCUGUCUCAGACACUGUUGUAUUUCUUUGUGCUUGCCUGUGAGAUGGUUUUGUGAUGCUCUGUGAAAAUAUUUCUUCCAGUCCAUGAAAACAUGCUAAAUGUUGGUGUCAUUGGUAAUCCUUGGACAAGAUUCUUGGAUGCACAAUAUCUGCCUUCUGGCAGAAACGUCAGCACGCCGGGCAAAAUGCUUAGCGGUAUUUCGUCUGUCUUUACAUUCUGAGUUCAAAUUCUGCCAUGGUUGACUUUGCCUUUCAUCCUUUCGGGGUCGAUAAAUUAAGUACCAGUUGUGUACUGGGGUCAAUCUAUUCGACUUGCCCCCCCCCCCUCCUCCAAAAUUUCAGGCCUUGUACCUACAGUAGCAAAGAAUAUCUGCCUUCUGGUGGUCUGGUUCCUGACACAGCUUGCCUGUUUGUUCUGUGGUAUUUGCCAUUCUGUUCACUUUCACUGACCAACAUAACCAGAAUGGUACGGUUAAUAUGGCAUUCUGUUACAGCUCAAAGUUUCCUUUCUUAGGAAUCAUGGCAAACCAGGACUUUGUCUUUGAUGUGAAUUAUUUUUGAUAUUUACUAAAUGUUGUUGGUUGUGAGAACUGAUCAUGGCUUCUUUCCUCUUAACUGGAAUAAUAUUGAUACCAGUUAAUUUCAGCUUUUUCAGAGAUUUUACCAUUGUUGUAACCACCUUGUUCAAGACUGGAUUACUCUUGUCUUCAAAAUCAGUGUCAGGACCGAGAAGUGUCUUGUGACUUCCUGAUUAUAGCUUCAAAUAGAACUUAGCUUACCAUUCCAGAAGUGCAUAGCUAACAUAUCGGCAAACACUCAUCAGGUUAGGCAAUUGUUUCUACACUGGCUUAAAACAUGUCUUCCACACCACUUUUUAUUGAAUUAUGAACUCCUUUUUUCUGGAUGGAUAGGAAAAGUUUGAUUCUUCAUGUAUUAUCUUUCUCUCCUGUGAAAUGUCCUUUGAACAUGUCAUGUAUUUCUAAAAUUUCAAGAUCUUGUUAAAACUUUCCCACCAGUUUCAAAAUGAAUCCAUGUUAUUUUUAGAUAGUUCACUUUGUGUCUAACAAACUGAGAAUUGGAGCAAAUCACGUGUGUGUGUGUGUGUGUGUGUGCGUGUGUGUGUGCGUGUGUGUGUGCGUGUGCGUGUGCGUGUGUGUGUGUGUGCGCGUGCGUGUGUGCGUGUGUGUGUGCGUGCGUGCGCGCGCGCGCGUGUAACCAUAGAGCAACUGAUUUAUAAAUGUACAAGUGGAAAUUUGAAUGUUAUUGCAGUUAAUUAAAAGCUUUGUAAACCCAUCAUAUUCUGUAAAUCAAUUAAAUUGACUAAUUAAUGAAUCUUCAUUGAGGGUUUGUCUUUUAAUAGUUUGAACAAUAUCUUUCAACUUGGUUCGUCAUUAUUAUUAUUAUUAUUAUCUUAAGGCAGAGAGAGGCUGGCAGAAUCAUUAGCAUACUGGGCAAAAUGCUUAGUGGUAACAUUCAGUAUCUCCUGAGUUCUCAAGAUUUCUUAAAACAAUCUAAUUAGUAAUUAGUUUGUAUUUAAUAUUCGCCCUUUUAUUUUUGUCAAUGUAGAGUUUUGUUAGCUGAAGGAUACCCAGUUCAUUCUUGUCACGGUUGACUGCCUUUCAUUUUCUGUCAGUUUCAACAUGUCAUCGUUGCUGUCCCUAUCAAAUGAAAAUUCAAAAUGGAACAAGAAUGAAAGACGGAAAGCCUCCCGUCAGCCAUGAGAUCCAGAUUACAGACUUUAAAUGCACCAAAACUACACUUGUAAUCUGGGUCUCUAUGGCUGACAAGGAUUUCCAUCUAUUUUUGCCUUUUAGUCUUUCUCCAUCUAAUCGUUUCCAAUGUUCCGCUUUGAUUUUUUUUUUUUUCUUUUGAAGUUUGUAGCCCUCACACCAUCUCAACAUUUUCGCAUAUAUGUGUGCUAGUGUGGCUGUGUCGUAAGGAGUUUGCUUCCCAACCAUAUGGCUCUGAGUUCAGUCCCACUGUGUGGCAUCUUGGGCAAGUGUCUUCUAUGACAUCCUGGGGCUGACCAAAGCUUUGUAAGUGGAUUUGAUAGACAAAUUGAAAGUGUGUGUGUGUGUGUGUAUUCAUGAGGAAGCUCAGCAGGAUUUUCUUCUUUAUAUUCCAAAUAAAAAAUUCUCUCAAAAUUCUAGUUUGCUUUAUUUGAGAUCCUUGUGUAAGAGUGACCUGUACAUUACAUCAAAUUAUAAAAGAAAAUCAUGCAAAAUGGAAAUGCUCCUCUCCAAAUUGCAGCCAAAAGUUGAAAAUGGGAGCUCCAGUUCUUGCUACCCAACCAAAUAUAAUCGAAACCUAUUAAGUGGUGGCACUACUGUUCCAAGACACUGCUAUUUCUUCUGUUGGUCAAUAUGUCCAUGUUGAUGACUCCUUCCAUCCAGGCUGUAGUUGCAGUAUUCAAAGACAGCAGCUGUUGCAAUAUAAUAUUUGUGUUAGUGAAAGACAUGGAAAUGCCACUACGACUGUUUUGUUGUGUUGCUGAUAAUUAAAAAUGGUUUGUUUGAUUAAUUGUGAAGUGUAAUGAAAAUUAAAAUUUCUUUAAAUUCUUGA